GACAAACGCUGGCGGCGUGCCUAAUACAUGCAAGUCGAACGCUUCUUUCCUCCCGAGUGCUUGCACUCAAUUGGAAAGAGGAGUGGCGGACGGGUGAGUAACACGUGGGUAACCUACCCAUCAGAGGGGGAUAACACUUGGAAACAGGUGCUAAUACCGCAUAACAGUUUAUGCCGCAUGGCAUAAGAGUGAAAGGCGCUUUCGGGUGUCGCUGAUGGAUGGACCCGCGGUGCAUUAGCUAGUUGGUGAGGUAACGGCUCACCAAGGCCACGAUGCAUAGCCGACCUGAGAGGGUGAUCGGCCACACUGGGACUGAGACACGGCCCAGACUCCUACGGGAGGCAGCAGUAGGGAAUCUUCGGCAAUGGACGAAAGUCUGACCGAGCAACGCCGCGUGAGUGAAGAAGGUUUUCGGAUCGUAAAACUCUGUUGUUAGAGAAGAACAAGGACGUUAGUAACUGAACGUCCCCUGACGGUAUCUAACCAGAAAGCCACGGCUAACUACGUG
RNAcentral lists this ribosomal RNA (508 nucleotides) under uncultured bacterium. Its description in RNAcentral is "partial 16S ribosomal RNA". It matches the Rfam family "Bacterial small subunit ribosomal RNA", at positions 28 to 507 of the family's 1533-position model. The record is from RNAcentral.